GUCUCUUUUGUGCUUUUAUCAUUUGCUGGAUUUCACUCCUCCAUUUCCAGUCACUCCGGCCCUAUACACAGUGUGAAUUAAAGGGAUAUGCCUUUAGGGGAAGAUCUUACCCAAUGUGCUUCAUUUCUCUCAAGGGUUAGAUCCCCUUAGUUUCUGCCUGCUUUGGUGGCUGUCCAGUGCCUUAAGGUGGGGCUUAUCAAGAGCUGGAGGGUCUGAACCAGAUUUAUGCAGAAUUUUAAAGGGACAGCUGUAGAGUUAAAGAAGAAGCUGACUGAAAAUGUGUAUCAAGGGCAAAGGCUUGGAGAUGACACUUUCUCCCAAGUGGUAUUCCAGUACAGAUUCCUUCUCUGAGCACUCCAACCAGACAUAAAGGAGUCUUAAUUCCCAAACCCAAGCAUGUCUGGAAAGAUUCUUCGUAUUGAAGUUACCUCCUCCAUGAGGGUCUCCUACCGGGAACAGGGAACCUUGAAGAAGUGAGCAUGGGGAAUGGUGGGUGCAAACAAGUGGGGCACAUUUGAUGAAAGACAGUUGGAAGGCAGGCAGGCCGGCAGGGACAAGCGCUCCCUCACUCAGAGGAAACCACCCUUAAAAGGAUUUUACACCACCUUGGAAAGAGCCCUCCACCCUUUCCCAGUGACAAAAAUCGGAGACAAAAACCUGAUUGGAUGACAGGUGCAGAAAGGGUUAAUCAGAUUAAAACAACCCACUAACAAGCCCAUAAACACCCCUAAACUUAGAAACUCCAGUGGCAACUGUCUCGGGUCCCCUCCCUCCUUGGGAGCUUUGUACUGUCCCUUUGCUAUCACUCAAUAAACCUUGCU
This is a long non-coding RNA of Lontra canadensis (Northern American river otter), 821 nucleotides long. RefSeq lists it as uncharacterized. The record is from RefSeq and is a predicted model, not a curated record. The transcript is spliced from 3 exons. NCBI's taxonomy places the organism in Eukaryota, Metazoa, Chordata, Mammalia, Carnivora, Mustelidae.